UCUUUUCUGCCACCGGGUAGGAAAGGUAAGCGUCAGAAUUUCUAUCGUUAGGUCUGAGAAGAUAGGAAUCCUGGCGCUUUUUAUUU
This 86-nucleotide non-coding RNA is filed under the name unclassified sequences. The record is from RNAcentral.